Non-coding RNA from Chelonoidis abingdonii (Abingdon island giant tortoise), 267 nucleotides. Lineage: Eukaryota; Metazoa; Chordata; Testudines; Testudinidae. The record is from RefSeq and is a predicted model, not a curated record.
UGCCCUUGGGGGCGGGGGAGUGGGCGGUAUGUUAGCAGGGCGUGUGCCGUGCAGCGAGUGUGCCUGCUAGUCCCGCGUUCUCCUGCUCGUGUCGCUCGGCCCCGCCCGCAGCACCCACCGGCCAUGUCCAAGUCCCUGAAGAAGAUCGUGGAGGAGAGUAGGGAGAAGAACCAGCCCGAGGUGGACAUGUGUGACCGGGGCAUCUCUAACAUGCUGGACGUCUCUGGCUUGUCACGGGAUCGACGGCCGUGGCUCCCCUGUCAACUC